Molecule: ribosomal RNA, 450 nt
Filed under: uncultured bacterium
Lineage: Bacteria
Description: bacterial SSU rRNA
Rfam family: Bacterial small subunit ribosomal RNA
Source: RNAcentral
AACGAACGCUGGCGGCAUGCCUAACACAUGCAAGUCGAACGAGACCUUCGGGUCUAGUGGCGCACGGGUGCGUAACGCGUGGGAAUCUGCCCUUGGGUUUGGAAUAACAGCGAGAAAUUGCUGCUAAUACCGGAUGAUGACGUAAGUCCAAAGAUUUAUCGCCCAAGGAUGAGCCCGCGUAGGAUUAGCUAGUUGGUGAGGUAAAGGCUCACCAAGGCGACGAUCCUUAGCUGGUCUGAGAGGAUGAUCAGCCACACUGGGACUGAGACACGGCCCAGACUCCUACGGGAGGCAGCAGUGGGGAAUAUUGGACAAUGGGCGAAAGCCUGAUCCAGCAAUGCCGCGUGAGUGAUGAAGGCCUUAGGGUUGUAAAGCUCUUUUACCCGGGAUGAUAAUGACAGUACCGGGAGAAUAAGCUCCGGCUAACUCCGUGCCAGCAGCCGCGGUAAU